RNAcentral lists this long non-coding RNA (240 nucleotides) under Homo sapiens (human). Its description in RNAcentral is "HSALNT0293816". The record is from RNAcentral. Lineage: Eukaryota; Metazoa; Chordata; Mammalia; Primates; Hominidae.
AAAAAGCGACGUCGCUAUGAACGCUUGGCCGCCACAAGUCAGAAGGAUCGUGAGGCCCCGCUUUCACGGUCUGUUUCUGUCCUCCCUGAGCUCGCCUUAGGACACCUGCGUUACCGUUUGACAGGUGUACAGCCCCAGUCAAACUCCCCACCUGGCACUGUCCCCGGAAAUGAUGAGUUCAUGUCCUUUGUAGGGACAUGGAUGAAAUUGGAAACCAUCAUUCUCAGUAAACUAUCGCAA